RNAcentral lists this transfer RNA (87 nucleotides) under Omnitrophica bacterium RIFCSPHIGHO2_02_FULL_63_14. RNAcentral's name for it is "tRNA-Ser". It matches the Rfam family "tRNA". Rfam says of the family: Transfer RNA (tRNA) molecules are approximately 80 nucleotides in length. The record is from RNAcentral. Lineage: Bacteria; Pseudomonadati; Candidatus Omnitrophota.
GGAGAGAUGGCUGAGUGGCUGAAAGCGGCAGUCCCGAAAACUGCUAGGGUUGCAAGACCCUCGAAGGUUCGAAUCCUUCUCUCUCCG